Molecule: non-coding RNA, 328 nt
Organism: Pelobates cultripes (western spadefoot toad)
Lineage: Eukaryota; Metazoa; Chordata; Amphibia; Anura; Pelobatidae
Source: the annotation of a GenBank genome assembly
CAAUCACAGUCCAUAGACCAUGUCUUUUUGCCAUUUAAUGUAUUAGAAUAUGUGUUCAAAGGAAAAGCAGGCAUUUGAAUUGAGGAGGGCAUGUUUGUCUUUACUGUUUUUACUGCUAUGGAGCCAAGGUAAAAUGUAUGCUGGAUCAUUACGUCUGAUCUACCAACGUCUGAGAUGCUCUCUUCUAUAAAAUAUGAGGGAAGGAUAAGCUGUUUUUAAGAGAUGGGUAUAAGAUUUGUCCACAAAUCCCAUUCAGCUGUUUUGAAUGGCUCAAUUGUAUGCCCAUUGGGCAAACACCAAAAGAAUUGAUUCGUCCAUCUAUAGAUUG